UACGUAGGGUGCAAGCGUUUGUCCGGAUUUACUGGGCGUAAAGGAUGCGUAGGCGGAUAUAUAAGUCAGAUGUGAAAUACCCGGGCUCAACUUGGGUGCUGCAUUUGAAAACUGUAUAUCUAGAGUGCGGGAGAGGUAAGUGGAAUUCCUAGUGUAGCGGUGAAAAUGCGUAGAGAUUAGGAAGAACACCAGUGGCGAAGGCGACUUACUGGACCGUAACUGACGCUGAGGCAUGAAAGCGUGGGGGAGCAAACAGG
Molecule: ribosomal RNA, 257 nt
Filed under: uncultured bacterium
Lineage: Bacteria
Description: partial 16S ribosomal RNA
Rfam family: Bacterial small subunit ribosomal RNA
Source: RNAcentral